UCACUGUGACACUGGGCAAGUCACUUAACUCUUCUGGUUUUCAGUUUUCUCUUAGGUCCUGUGCAACCGGAGACAGUCAUGGUUACUGGUUUGGGGUCCCAAGGACACCAGGAGAAUUCUGCUACUACCCAUGCGAACAGCAGAUAGAUGGAUUUGAGUAACAGUCACAGCACAACGCACGAAUCGAACCAUUGGUAAUAGAGGGUCAAGGUCAAGUGACAGCACCUCACUGACCACUGGCUCAAAGGGCAACGGGGUCCCAUCACGGCCCUGUUCUCAUUCCCUGGGACGUCCUCCUCAAACCCAGCACAAUUCCCACAGCUUGCGUCAGCACCAGUAUCAACAAUCUCUUCCUGACUCAAGGGACCACAGGCACCUGAGAAGUCGUCUACUGGAAUCAGCACAAGGGGUGAAGAAGCAUGUGCACAAUUUCACAAGACCAGUGGUCCUCUCUGCCUUGAUCCCCCUUGUGGUAUUUGAUACAGUGGAACCCUUCCUUUCGCUGAACAACAUAGGUCACAAUUUACAAAAUUCUGUUGACCUGAUUUUUUUUUUUAUGAUUCAUUCAAAAGGCUUGAGAAACCUUCCUGAGGAUAAAUAGGAGGCAUAUCUGAGAUGGUGCUGAACUUUUAAGUCUUUAAUUUGUUACCAAAUCCUUUCUUGGAAUGAUGAACUCAAAUCCUUUCUUGGAAUGUUGAACUUCUCUUCCUUCUAGAACCCCCUAACUUCUGGAAGCCAGUUAAUGAAAUCCCAGGGAGUCCCAUAUGUAAGGUAUGAGAUAAAAUGUUUCGACCCAGAUUCCUUCAUGACAUUCCUCCCACCCACUACCCACCCCUUUCUGGUCUCCAUGCUCCAGCUCACGUUCAAGCUGUCUUCAUAACCUUUGGAGGCUUUUGUUAUUGCUGGAAGAAUUCAAUAUAAAGGUACCUAGUCCUCCUCCUGUGCUAGAGUUGAGCUGCUUGUAUCUUAAGAAAAAAUAUAUAUUGCUGUUCUAUUCCAAGAUACUCAUUCGGUUAGAUGGUGGCUCUAGUAACUAGCAUACCUUACUGUCCAACAUUUUUCUCCCUUCUCCAAAAGGAAAGUGUAUAAUUUUACUGCCAACAGGCUCUCGGAUGUAGAAACAGUAAGUGGUCGGUCACUGCCCACCAGGAACAGGGAGAGUAUUGAUCUGAAGAGGACAGUCUAACCUGUCUUCCCUCUUUGCUUAGGGGCAAAGAGUCCAGAGCUGCUCCCAGGUGGUUUGCAAAUCUACUGGCCUGUUUUUCAAGGUUCUCAAGAUUUUGGCCGAGGGAAGCAUAUCUUGAGCAUGGUUAUAGGAAUGAUGGUUCGCACAUUUUAGACUUAUUUGUA
Non-coding RNA from Manis javanica (Malayan pangolin), 1350 nucleotides. Lineage: Eukaryota; Metazoa; Chordata; Mammalia; Pholidota; Manidae. The record is from RefSeq and is a predicted model, not a curated record.